This 70-nucleotide transfer RNA is filed under the name Apogonichthyoides taeniatus (twobelt cardinal). Its description in RNAcentral is "tRNA-Ile". It matches the Rfam family "tRNA". From Rfam's summary of the family: Transfer RNA (tRNA) molecules are approximately 80 nucleotides in length. Their secondary structure includes four short double-helical elements and three loops (D, anti-codon, and T loops). Lineage: Eukaryota; Metazoa; Chordata; Actinopteri; Kurtiformes; Apogonidae. The record is from RNAcentral.
GGGGCUGUGCCUGAAAUAAAGGGCCACUUUGAUAGAGUGAACCAUGAAGGUUAGAAUCCCUCCAACCCCU